Molecule: long non-coding RNA, 4068 nt
Organism: Solenopsis invicta (red fire ant)
Lineage: Eukaryota; Metazoa; Arthropoda; Insecta; Hymenoptera; Formicidae
Exons: 4
Source: RefSeq, a predicted model, not a curated record
AAAUAUAAAUUGAAGAAACAACUAUAAAUACAGGUCUGGCUUCUGUGAAAGUAUGAUUUACGCCGUCGGGUCUCGCGAUUUGCUUAUUUCUCUUUAGCGAACCCCGUAUUUUCGAUCGUAUAUUAGUUCGAGGUUGCAUUGGAAAUGGUAUUAAUACUUUACCGUUCUAGGAGACGAAAUAUAUCAGAGAAUAUUCUCUUCUUAGGACGAUAUUUUCAAACAAAUUGUUGCACACAGACUUGAUAAUAAAAAAAAAGAAUAAUAAUAAUUUGGUUAAAAUUCGACCGGUUAAAAAUCUACAAUGUGUUACAUAGUGGUUUUUUUGUAAAUUAAUCUAGCCAUUUUAACAAUUGUUCGCUAUUUGAGCUAUAGUUUCUCUCUUUGACGUCAUUCUCUUGUAUUUUAACACAACAGCAGAAGUUUCGCAAGUUAGUUGAUUUUAAAAUACUCAGACUCUUACAUGUUUAUUGUUUCAAGAUAAAUUUAAAUCUUACACACGAAUACUUUAUAAUUGAAGUUACAACAAUUUUCAAUUAAUUAAAAUUAAGGCUGUAUUGCAAAAUUGUAAAGAUAUUUUAAAAAAAUCUUGUUUUUGUAACUUGUCUUUGGAUUAUCUGAUAAUAUUUUUACAAUAAUUAAUUGCAGGAAAUUAACUAAUUAAUGAAUUAAAUACUAUUUUAUUUUAUAUAAAUUUAUAAAAUUAUAUUAAUAUAUCUAUAUUAUACGUUUACAUUUUCGGAACAGCAAAUCUUUUAUGAUGUUCAAACAUCUAUUUUGUAUCUUACUGGGAAAGAUUAAAUUGAGAAUUUGUUUAAUUUUCAGAUAAAGUUAUGCGAUAACUUGACUUAGAAAAGAUGCUCUCAGAGUUGUUAGGUAUAGAUUCUAAUACGUAAAGAUAGAUUCGCUGGUGAGGGGCGAUCGUGUAUAUUUAGAAAAGUGCCCGGUUUGCCAGAACUGAGAGAGACUUGCGUCUCGACGCUUCGCGUGAGAUUUCUCCGUUGAUAUUCCUCGGUGUACAAAUCGAUGAGAAGAAGCUAACGUCCAUCGCCGAAUAAUUGUGAAAUAAACGAACCGCAGCCGGUUCGUCGCGUCGCGCGUUUGUCUCGGGAGUGCCGUUUAAAUAUUGGACUAAAUAGACUUUUUUUUUAUAACUCCCAUUUGAUAGACUCCUAGUUCGAGGGCCGGGAAUCGCACCCCUGCUGCUUGGCAGUGGAUAUCUUCUCUCUGGGGCGUUGCGCAUGGUGGCUAAGAAAGACGGCGCACCGCGACGUUCCAUGCCGAGUGCCCGUGCACGAGGUAAUGCCGGGCCGCAUGUACGACAUGCCCCGUGUGCAUGUUGCGCGGUUGUCUGGUUGUGUGAGGUUACACGCUCUGUCUCUGACGAUCGGUUCGGUCCUAAGUGGUAAGAGUUCGGAUCAGUUGCCUUGGAUUCGCACGUUUCUCUUGCUCUCGUCCACCAUCCUAAGGCUUUCUUAGAUCCUUGAUACCGUUUUUAGAUUCUUUGGAUCUAGGGUUCGAGCUAGGUGAAUCACGUUUAAUCUGACUUGGUCAGAACUUGGCCUUGUAGGUUAAGCUUGUGACGAGAGGCUGGCUCUCAUUUCCUGAUUCGUCUAAAAUGCUAGACAUCGGCAAUGAGUACCUUCUUCUCUCGUCCUGCCGGAGUGUCUUGUCGACGCCGCUUGGAUAUAAGAUCCAGUGGGACUGAUCUCGAUGAUCCGUUGGCUGGGCGUAUGAACGAGUCAAUUUUAGACGUGAUUUUUGUGAGACAAGAGGCGUAGGAAUUCAAUACCAUUGAUUUCGUUUUCUUCCGCGUGGGUCUUACCCUUAUUCGGGGGUGGGUACGCGUGCGUUCUACUUGCCGACUCGGGGUGCUGAAUCCACGGGAAUCCCUAUGAAUGGGAACUCGUAUCAUGGGUUUUAUAAACCCGAAGUGCCGCAGUGUCGCGCGAAAAACUUUAUAAAUAAUAAGUCCACGCGCGCAAAUUUAGUGUAUUAUUCGCGAGUGUUCCGCGUGUGCAACAAGUGAAAGAGGACAACCUUGAGGACACUGAGAGGAGGAGGAGGCCUGGGGAAGGCAUCAUGCUUCAGCGGAGCAACCUUGGGUAAUCAUCGUAGCUUCGUGGCUGAGUAACUCCGCUCGUUGCGCAUCGGUCGGUGAGUCAGUAAUAAUUUUUCUCAUAUUUGAAUGUUUUUCACAUAUCCUGCGCAGGAUUAAACGUAAGGUCACUGGAAGAAAGAGUUUGGCAAUAGCUAUUACUAAAGUCUUUUCUUCAGUGGACCUGGAUAUUUUAUCGAAGGGGAAUUCUAGUACCCAAUUGCGCGCGAUCGGUUCCGUAUUUUCGCGAGUGAGUGUACCGAAUCAUGACGACCUGAGGAAGAGGAAGAGGAAAAAAAAGAAGUCUGGAAGGCAAUCUUGGGAUAAGUAAUAUUUGCAAUAUAUACAGAGCGUAUAAUGUCUAUCUAAUCAAUCUCAUUAGUGUGUUAUAGAUAUUUCUCGGUGUACAAAUCGAUGAGAAGAAGCUAACGUCCAUCGCCGAAUAAUUGUGAAAUAAACGAACCGCAGCCGGUUCGUCGCGUCGCGCGUUUGUCUCGGAAGUGCCGUUUAAAUAUUGGACUAAAUAGACUUUUUUUCUAUAACUCCCAUUUGAUAGACUCCUAGUUCGAGGGCCGGGAAUCGCACCCCCGCUGCUUGGCAGUGGAUAUCUUCUCUCUGGGGCGUUGCGCAUGGUGGCUAAGAAAGACGGCGCACCGCGACGUUCUAUGCCGAGUGCCCGUGCACGAGGUAAUGCCGGGCCGCAUGUACGACAUGCCCCGUGUGCAUGUUGCGCGGUUGUCUGGUUGUGUGAGGUUACACGCUCUGUCUCUGACGAUCGGUUCGGUCCUAAGUGGUAAGAGUUCGGAUCAGUUGCCUUGGAUUCGCACGUUUCUCUUGCUCUCGUCCACCAUCCUAAGGCUUUCUUAGAUCCUUGAUACCGUUUUUAGAUUCUUUGGAUCUAGGGUUCGAGCUAGGUGAAUCACGUUUAAUCUGACUUGGUCAGAACUUGGCCUUGUAGGUUAAGCUUGUGACGAGAGGCUGGCUCUCAUUUCCUGAUUCGUCUAAAAUGCUAGACGUCGGCAAUGAGUACCUUCUUCUCUCGUCCUGCCGGAGUGUCUUGUCGACGCCGCUUGGAUAUAAGAUCCAGUGGGACUGAUCUCGAUGAUCCGUUGGCUGGGCGUAUGAACGAGUCAAUUUUAGACGUGAUUUUGUGAGACAAGAGGCGUAGGAAUUCAACCAUUGAUUUCGUUUUCUUCCGCGUGGGGCUUACCCUUUUUGGGGGCGGGUACGCGUGCGUCCUACUCGCCGACUCGGGGUGCUGAAUCUACGGGAAUCUCUCUGAAUGGGAACUCGUAUCAUGGGUUUUAUAAACCCGAAGUGCCUCAGUGUCGCGCGAAAAACUUUAUAAAUAAUAAGUCCACGCGCGCAAAUUUAGUGCAUUAUUCGCGAGUGUUCCGCCUGUGCAAUAAGUGGAAGAGGACAACCUUGAGGACACUGAGAGGAGGAGGAGGCCUGGGGGAGGCAUCAGGCUUCAGCGGAGCAACCUUGGGUAAUCAUCGUAGCUUCGUGGCUGAGUAACUCCGCUCGUUGCGCAUCGGUCGGUGAGUCAGUAAUAAUUUUUCUCAUUAUAUUUGAAUGUUUUUUACAUCUCCUGCGCAGGAUCAAACAUAAGGUCACUGGAAAAAAGAGUUUGGCAAUAGCUAUUACUAAAGUCUUUUCUUCAGUGGACCUGGACAUUUUAUCAAAAGGGAAUUUUAGUACCCAAUCGCAUGCGAUUGAUUCCGUAUUUUUGCGAGUGAGUGAGUGCACCGAAUCACGAUGAUCUGAGGAAGAGGAAAAGGAAGAGAAAGAGGAAAAAGAAGAAGUUUGGAAGGCAACCUUGGGGUAAGUAAUAUUUGCAACAUAUACAGAGUGUAUAAUGUCUAUUUAAUCAAUCUCAAUAGUGUGUUAUAGAUAUUUCUCAGUGUGCGAAUUGCCGAGAGAAACCUGGAUCUGAGAGGAGGAGGAAGCCUGAGAGAGAUCAGCACACCAAU